UGAACGCUGGCGGCNGGCCUAACACAUGCAAGUCGAGCGGAAACGACACUAUNGANUCUUCGGGNGNUUUGNUGGGCGUCGAGCGGCGGACGGGUGAGUAAUGCCUAGGAAAUUGCCUUGAUGUGGGGGAUAACCAUUGGAAACGAUGGCUAAUACCGCAUAAUGCCUACGGGCCAAAGAGGGGGACCUUCGGGCCUCUCGCGUCAAGAUAUGCCUAGGUGGGAUUAGCUAGUUGGUGAGGUAAUGGCUCACCAAGGCGACGAUCCCUAGCUGGUCUGAGAGGAUGAUCAGCCACACUGGAACUGAGACACGGUCCAGACUCCUACGGGAGGCAGCAGUUGGGGAAUAUUGCACAAUGGGCGAAAGCCUGAUGCACCCAUGCCGCGUGUAUNAAAAAAGCCUUCNGGUUGUAAAAGUACUUUUAAUUNUUGAGGAAAGGGGUGUACAUUAAUA
This 453-nucleotide ribosomal RNA is filed under the name marine gamma proteobacterium SB13. RNAcentral describes it as "bacterial SSU rRNA". It matches the Rfam family "Bacterial small subunit ribosomal RNA", at positions 30 to 465 of the family's 1533-position model. Lineage: Bacteria; Pseudomonadati; Pseudomonadota; Gammaproteobacteria. The record is from RNAcentral.